GCCCCUCCUGCUCAGUUGGUAGAACUUGAGACUCUGAAUCUCAGGUCAUGGGUUUGAGCCCCACAUUGGGCA
Podarcis lilfordi (Lilford's wall lizard) is the source of this 72-nucleotide non-coding RNA. The record is from the annotation of a GenBank genome assembly. NCBI's taxonomy places the organism in Eukaryota, Metazoa, Chordata, Lepidosauria, Squamata, Lacertidae.